CGCAAGCCUGACGGAGCAAGACCGCGUGCGGGAUGACGGCCUAAUGGUUGUAGACCGCUUUUCUCUGGGAAGAUGAUGACGGUACCAGAGGAAUCAGCCUCGGCUAACUCCGUGCCAGCAGCCGCGGUAAUACGGAGGAGGCAAGCGUUAUCCGGAAUUAUUGGGCGUAAAGCGUCCGUAGGUGGUUAUUCAAGUCUGCUGUCAAAGCGUGGGGCUUAACUCCAUAGAGGCAGUGGAAACUGGAUGACUUGAGUGCGGUAGGGGUCGAGGGAAUUCCCAGUGUAGCGGUGAAAUGCGUAGAUAUUGGGAAGAACACCAGUGGCGAAAGCGCUCGACUGGGCCUGCACUGACACUGAGGGACGAAAGCUAGGGGAGCG
RNAcentral lists this ribosomal RNA (377 nucleotides) under uncultured cyanobacterium. Its description in RNAcentral is "bacterial SSU rRNA". It matches the Rfam family "Bacterial small subunit ribosomal RNA", at positions 376 to 770 of the family's 1533-position model. The record is from RNAcentral. Lineage: Bacteria; Bacillati; Cyanobacteriota.